AGAAGUUAUUCGAGGAACCAAGUUCCUUACCCUGUUGAGAAAAUGUAAAAUUUUCCUCAUUUUUGAGCAAUUUAGCAAAAUUUUUAAAUGUGAUAUAUUUUAAUGCGAAUUAGUUGCAAUGUGUUUCUUUUCACUCAAAUAAUGCUUUAAAUUAAAAAAAUAAUAAAAAAUCGGAAAAAAAAUUUUAAAAAAUUUUCAACUCGAAAAUUUCAUAAGGCUUACCCCUUACGUUUUUUUUGGGAAAUUUUGCAAAAAAAAUGAAAUUGAUUUAUUUUAAUGCCAAUUGCUUGCAAUGUGUUUCUUUUCACUCAAGUAAUGCUUUAAAUAAAAAAAAGAGUGAAAAAUAAUAAAAAAAUCAAAAAAUUCAAAGAAAUUUAAAUUUACUAAGGCUCAUUUUUGCAGCAAGUUUUGCCUAUAACUCGGUCGGUAUCCAACGGAUCGCCAAUCUUUAACCUGUGAUCGAUAGAUGGCAUCAAUGGCUACAUUUUCUUCUUGGACAGCCAUGCUCUCAGGUGUCCGUGCCGGAAGUUAUUCGAGGAAACAAGUUCCAUACCCUGUUUGAGAAAAUGUAAAAUUUUUCUCAUUUUUGCACCAAGUUUUGCCUAUAACUCGGUCGGUAUCCAACGGAUCGCCAAUCUUUAAACUGUGGUCGAUAGAUGGCACCUAUGGCUACAUUUUCUUCUUAGACGGUCAUGCUCUCAGGUGCCCGUGCCAGAAGUUAUUCGAGGAACCAAGUUCCUUACCCUGUUGAGAAAAUGUAAAAUUUUCCUCAUUUUUGAGCAAUUUAGCAAAAUUUUUAAAUGUGAUAUAUUUUAAUGCGAAUUAGUUGCAAUGUGUUUCUUUUCACUCAAAUAAUGCUUUAAAUUAAAAAAAUAAUAAAAAAUCAGAAAAAAAUUUUAAAAAAUUUUCAACUCGAAAAUUUUAUAAGGCUUACCCCUUACGUUUUUUUUGGGAAAUUUUGCAAAAAAAAUGAAAUUGAUUUAUUUUAAUGCCAAUUGCUUGCAAUGUGUUUCUUUUCACUCAAGUAAUGCUUUAAAUAAAAAAAAGAGUGAAAAAUAAUAAAAAAAUCAAAAAAUUCAAAAAAAUUAAAAUUUACUAAGGCUCAUUUUUGCAGCAAGUUUUGCCUAUAACUCGGUCGGUAUCCAACGGAUCGCCAAUCUUUAACCUGUGAUCGAUAGAUGGCAUCAAUGGCUACAUUUUCUUCUUGGACAGCCAUGCUCUCAGGUGUCCGUGCCGGAAGUUAUUCGAGGAAACAAGUUCCAUACCCUGUUUGAGAAAAUAUAAAAUUUUUCUCAUUUUUGCAGCAAGUUUUGCCUAUAACUCGGUCGGUAUCCAACGGAUCGCCAAUCUUUAACCUGUGAUCGAUAGAUGGCAUCAAUGGCUACAUUUUCUUCUUGGACAGCCAUGCUCUCAGGUGUCCGUGCCGGAAGUUAUUCGAGGAAACAAGUUCCAUACCCUGUUUGAGAAAAUGUAAAAUUUUUCUCAUUUUUGCACCAAGUUUUGCCUAUAACUCGGUCGGUAUCCAACGGAUCGCCAAUCUUUAAACUGUGGUCGAUAGAUGGCACCUAUGGCUACAUUUUCUUCUUAGACGGCCAUGCUCUCAGGUGCCCGUGCCAGAAGUUAUUCGAGGAACCAAGUUCCUUACCCUGUUGAGAAAAUGUAAAAUUUUCCUCAUUUUUGAGCAAUUUAGCAAAAUUUUUAAAUGUGAUAUAUUUUAAUGCGAAUUAGUUGCAAUGUGUUUCUUUUCACUCAAAUAAUGCUUUAAAUUAAAAAAAUAAUAAAAAAUCGGAAAAAAAAUUUUAAAAAUUUUCAACUCGAAAAUUUCAUAAGGCUUACCCCUUACGUUUUUUUUGGGAAAUUUUGCAAAAAAAAUGAAAUUGAUUUAUUUUAAUGCCAAUUGCUUGCAAUGUGUUUCUUUUCACUCAAGUAAUGCUUUAAAUAAAAAAAAGAGUAAAAAAUAAUAAAAAAAUCAAAAAAUUCAAAAAAAUUAAAAUUUACUAAGGCUCAUUUUUGCAGCAAGUUUUGCCUAUAACUCGGUCGGUAUCCAACGGAUCGCCAAUCUUUAACCUGUGAUCGAUAGAUGGCAUCAAUGGCUACAUUUUCUUCUUGGACAGCCAUGCUCUCAGGUGUCCGUGCCGGAAGUUAUUCGAGGAAACAAGUUCCAUACCCUGUUUGAGAAAAUAUAAAAUUUUUCUCAUUUUUGCACCAAGUUUUGCCUAUAACUCGGUCGGUAUCCAACGGAUCGCCAAUCUUUAAACUGUGGUCGAUAGAUGGCACCUAUGGCUACAUUUUCUUCUUAGACGGCCAUGCUCUCAGGUGCCCGUGCCAGAAGUUAUUCGAGGAACCAAGUUCCUUACCCUGUUGAGAAAAUGUAAAAUUUUCCUCAUUUUUGAGCAAUUUAGCAAAAUUUUUAAAUGUGAUAUAUUUUAAUGCGAAUUAGUUGCAAUGUGUUUCUUUUCACUCAAAUAAUGCUUUAAAUUAAAAAAAUAAUAAAAAAUCGGAAAAAAAAUUUUUAAAAAUUUUCAACUCGAAAAUUUCAUAAGGCUUACCCCUUACGUUUUUUUUGGGAAAUUUUGCAAAAAAAAUGAAAUUGAUUAUUUUAAUGCCAAUUGCUUGCAAUGUGUUUCUUUUCACUCAAGUAAUGCUUUUAAUAAAAAAAAAGAGUGAAAAAUAAUAAAAAAAUCAAAAAAUUCAAAAAAAUUAAAAUUUACUAAGGCUCAUUUUUGCAGCAAGUUUUGCCUAUAACUCGGUCGGUAUCCAACGGAUCGCCAAUCUUUAACCUGUGAUCGAUAGAUGGCAUCAAUGGCUACAUUUUCUUCUUGGACAGCCAUGCUCUCAGGUGUCCGUGCCGGAAGUUAUUCGAGGAAGCAAGUUCCAUACCCUGUUUGAGAAAAUGUAAAAUUUUUCUCAUUUUUGCACCAAGUUUUGCCUAUAACUCGGUCGGUAUCCAACGGAUCGCCAAUCUUUAACCUGUGAUCGAUAGAUGGCAUCAAUGGCUACAUUUUCUUCUUGGACAGCCAUGCUCUCAGGUGUCCGUGCCGGAAGUUAUUCGAGGAAGCAAGUUCCAUACCCUGUUUGAGAAAAUGUAAAAUUUUUCUCAUUUUUGCACCAAGUUUUGCCUAUAACUCGGUCGGUAUCGAACGGAUCGCCAAUCUUUAAACUGUGGUCGAUAGAUGGCACCUAUGGCUACAUUUUCUUCUUAGACGGCCAUGCUCUCAGGUGCCCGUGCCAGAAGUUAUUCGAGGAACCAAGUUCCUUACCCUGUUGACAAAAUGUAAAAUUUUCCUCAUUUUUGAGCAAUUUAGCAAAAUUUUUAAAUGUGAUAUAUUUUAAUGCGAAUUAGUUGCAAUGUGUUUCUUUUCACUCAAAUAAUGCUUUAAAUUAAAAAAAUAAUAAAAAAUCGGAAAAAAAAUUUUUAAAAAUUUUCAACUCGAAAAUUUCAUAAGGCUUACCCCUUACGUUUUUUUUGGGAAAUUUUGCAAAAAAAAUGAAAUUGAUUUAUUUUAAUGCCAAUUGCUUGCAAUGUGUUUCUUUUCACUCAAGUAAUGCUUUAAAUAAAAAAAAGAGUGAAAAAUAAUAAAAAAAUCAAAAACUUCAAAAAAAUUAAAAUUUACUAAGGCUCAUUUUUGCAGCAAGUUUUGCCUAUAACUCGGUCGGUAUCCAACGGAUCGCCAAUCUUUAACCUGUGAUCGAUAGAUGGCAUCAAUGGCUACAUUUUCUUCUUGGACAGCCAUGCUCUCAGGUGUCCGUGCCGGAAGUUAUUCGAGGAAACAAGUUCCAUACCCUGUUUGAGAAAAUGUAAAAUUUUUCUCAUUUUUGCACCAAGUUUUGCCUAUAACUCGGUCGGUAUCCAACGGAUCGCCAAUCUUUAAACUGUGGUCGAUAGAUGGCACCUAUGGCUACAUUUUCUUCUUAGACGGCCAUGCUCUCAGGUGCCCGUGCCAGAAGUUAUUCGAGGAACCAAGUUCCUUACCCUGUUGAGAAAAUGUAAAAUUUUCCUCAUUUUUGAGCAAUUUAGCAAAAUUUUUAAAUGUGAUAUAUUUUAAUGCGAAUUAGUUGCAAUGUGUUUCUUUUCACUCAAAUAAUGCUUUAAAUUAAAAAAAUAAUAAAAAAUCAGAAAAAAAUUUUUUAAAAAUUUUCAACUCGAAAAUUUUAUAAGGCUUACCCCUUACGUUUUUUUUUGGGAAAUUUUGCAAAAAAAAUGAAAUUGAUUUAUUUUAAUGCCAAUUGCUUGCAAUGUGUUUCUUUUCACUCAAGUAAUGCUUUAAAUAAAAAAAAGAGUGAAAAAUAAUAAAAAAAUCAAAAAAUUCAAAAAAAUUAAAAUUUACUAAGGCUCAUUUUUGCAGCAAGUUUUGCCUAUAACUCGGUCGGUAUCCAACGGAUCGCCAAUCUUUAACCUGUGAUCGAUAGAUGGCAUCAAUGGCUACAUUUUCUUCUUGGACAGCCAUGCUCUCAGGUGUCCGUGCCGGAAGUUAUUCGAGGAAGCAAGUUCCAUACCCUGUUUGAGAAAAUGUAAAAUUUUUCUCAUUUUUGCACCAAGUUUUGCCUAUAACUCGGUCGGUAUCCAACGGAUCGCCAAUCUUUAAACUGUGGUCGAUAGAUGGCACCUAUGGCUACAUUUUCUUCUUAGACGGCCAUGCUCUCAGGUGCCCGUGCCAGAAGUUAUUCGAGGAACCAAGUUCCUUACCCUGUUGAGAAAAUGUAAAAUUUUCCUCAUUUUUGAGCAAUUUAGCAAAAUUUUUAAAUGUGAUAUAUUUUAAUGCGAAUUAGUUGCAAUGUGUUUCUUUUCACUCAAAUAAUGCUUUAAAUUAAAAAAAUAAUAAAAAAUCGGAAAAAAAAUUUUCAACUCGAAAAUUUCAUAAGGCUUAUCCCUUACGUUUUUUUGGGAAAUUUUGCAAAAAAAAUGAAAUUGAUUUAUUUUAAUGCCAAUUGCUUGCAAUGUGUUUCUUUUCACUCAAGUAAUGCUUUAAAUAAAAAAAAGAGUGAAAAAUAAUAAAAAAAUCAAAAAAUUCAAAAAAAUUAAAAUUUACUAAGGCUCAUUUUUGCAGCAAGUUUUGCCUAUAACUCGGUCGGUAUCCAACGGAUCGCCAAUCUUUAACCUGUGAUCGAUAGAUGGCAUCAAUGGCUACAUUUUCUUCUUGGACAGCCAUGCUCUCAGGUGUCCGUGCCGGAAGUUAUUCGAGGAAACAAGUUCCAUACCCUGUUUGAGAAAAUAUAAAAUUUUUCUCAUUUUUGCACCAAGUUUUGCCUAUAACUCGGUCGGUAUCCAACGGAUCGCCAAUCUUUAAACUGUGGUCGAUAGAUGGCACCUAUGGCUACAUUUUCUUCUUAGACGGCCAUGCUCUCAGGUGCCCGUGCCAGAAGUUAUUCGAGGAACCAAGUUCCUUACCCUGUUGAGAAAAUGUAAAAUUUUCCUCAUUUUUGAGCAAUUUAGCAAAAUUUUUAAAUGUGAUAUAUUUUAAUGCGAAUUAGUUGCAAUGUGUUUCUUUUCACUCAAAUAAUGCUUUAAAUUAAAAAAAUAAUAAAAAAUCGAAAAAAAAAUUUUAAAAAUUUUCAACUCGAAAAUUUCAUAAGGCUUACCCCUUACGUUUUUUUUGGGAAAUUUUGCAAAAAAAAAUAAAAUUGAUUUAUUUUAAUGCCAAUUGCUUGCAAUGUGUUUCUUUUCACUCAAGUAAUGCUUUAAAUAAAAAAAAGAGUGAAAAAUAAUAAAAAAAUCAAAAAAUUCAAAAAAAUUAAAAUUUACUAAGGCUCAUUUUUGCAGCAAGUUUUGCCUAUAACUCGGUCGGUAUCCAACGGAUCGCCAAUCUUUAACCUGUGAUCGAUAGAUGGCAUCAAUGGCUACAUUUUCUUCUUGGACAGCCAUGCUCUCAGGUGUCCGUGCCGGAAGUUAUUCGAGGAAACAAGUUCCAUACCCUGUUUGAGAAAAUGUAAAAUUUUCCUCAUUUUUGAGCAAUUUAGCAAAAUUUUUAAAUGUGAUAUAUUUUAAUGCGAAUUAGUUGCAAUGUGUUUCUUUUCACUCAAAUAAUGCUUUAAAUUAAAAAAAUAAUAAAAAAUCGGAAAAAAAAUUUUAAAAAAUUUUCAACUCGAAAAUUUCAUAAGGCUUACCCCUUACGUUUUUUUUGGGAAAUUUUGCAAAAAAAAUGAAAUUGAUUUAUUUUAAUGCCAAUUGCUUGCAAUGUGUUUCUUUUCACUCAAGUAAUGCUUUAAAUAAAAAAAAAAGAGUGAAAAAUAAUAAAAAAAUCAAAAAAUUCAAAAAAAUUAAAAUUUACUAAGGCUCAUUUUUGCAGCAAGUUUUGCCUAUAACUCGGUCGGUAUCCAACGGAUCGCCAAUCUUUAACCUGUGAUCGAUAGAUGGCAUCAAUGGCUACAUUUUCUUCUUGGACAGCCAUGCUCUCAGGUGUCCGUGCCGGAAGUUAUUCGAGGAAACAAGUUCCAUACCCUGUUUGAGAAAAUGUAAAAUUUUUCUCAUUUUUGCACCAAGUUUUGCCUAUAACUCGGUCGGUAUCCAACGGAUCGCCAAUCUUUAAACUGUGGUCGAUAGAUGGCACCUAUGGCUACAUUUUCUUCUUAGACGGCCAUGCUCUCAGGUGCCCGUGCCAGAAGUUAUUCGAGGAACCAAGUUCCUUACCCUGUUGAGAAAAUGUAAAAUUUUCCUCAUUUUUGAGCAAUUUAGCAAAAUUUUUAAAUGUGAUAUAUUUUAAUGCGAAUUAGUUGCAAUGUGUUUCUUUUCACUCAAAUAAUGCUUUAAAUUAAAAAAAUAAUAAAAAAUCGGAAAAAAAUUUUUAAAAAAUUUUCAACUCGAAAAUUUCAUAAGGCUUACCCCUUACGUUUUUUUUUGGGAAAUUUUGCAAAAAAAAUGAAAUUGAUUUAUUUUAAUGCCAAUUGGUUGCAAUGUGUUUCUUUUCACUCAAGUAAUGCUUUAAAUAAAAAAAAGAGUGAAAAAUAAUAAAAAAAUCAAAAAAUUCAAAGAAAUUUAAAUUUACUAAGGCUCAUUUUUGCAGCAAGUUUUGCCUAUAACUCGGUCGGUAUCCAACGGAUCACCAAUCUUUAACCUGUGAUCGAUAGAUAACAUCAAUGGCUACAUUUUCUUCUUGGACAGCCAUGCUCUCAGGUGUCCGUGCCGGAAGUUAUUCGAGGAAGCAAGUUCCAUACCCUGUUGAGAAAAUGUAAAAUUUUCCUCAUUUUUGAGCAAUUUAGCAAAAUUUUUAAAUGUGAUAUAUUUUAAUGCGAAUUAGUUGCAAUGUGUUUCUUUUCACUCAAAUAAUGCUUUAAAUUAAAAAAAUAAUAAAAAAUCGGAAAAAAAUUUUUAAAAAAUUUUCAACUCGAAAAUUUCAUAAGGCUUACCCCUUACGUUUUUUUUGGGAAAUUUUGCAAAAAAAAUGAAAUUGAUUUAUUUUAAUGCCAAUUGGUUGCAAUGUGUUUCUUUUCACUCAAGUAAUGCUUUAAAUAAAAAAAAGAGUGAAAAAUAAUAAAAAAAUCAAAAAAUUCAAAAAAAUUAAAAUUUACUAAGGCUCAUUUUUGCAGCAAGUUUUGCCUAUAACUCGGUCGGUAUCCAACGGAUCACCAAUCUUUAACCUGUGAUCGAUAGAUAACAUCAAUGGCUACAUUUUCUUCUUGGACAGCCAUGCUCUCAGGUGUCCGUGCCGGAAGUUAUUCGAGGAAGCAAGUUCCAUACCCUGUUUGAGAAAAUGUAAAAUUUUCCUCAUUUUUGAGCAAUUUAGCAAAAUUUUUAAAUGUGAUAUAUUUUAAUGCGAAUUAGUUGCAAUGUGUUUCUUUUCACUCAAAUAAUGCUUUAAAUUAAAAAAAUAAUAAAAAAUCAGAAAAAAAUUUUAAAAAAAUUUUCAACUCGAAAAUUUCAUAAGGCUUACCCCUUACGUUUUUUUUGGGAAAUUUUGCAAAAAAAAUGAAAUUGAUUUAUUUUAAUGCCAAUUGCUUGCAAUGUGUUUCUUUUCACUCAAGUAAUGCUUUAAAUAAAAAAAAAGAGUGAAAAAUAAUAAAAAAAUCAAAAAAUUCAAAAAAAUUAAAAUUUACUAAGGCUCAUUUUUGCAGCAAGUUUUGCCUAUAACUCGGUCGGUAUCCAACGGAUCGCCAAUCUUUAACCUGUGAUCGAUAGAUGGCAUCAAUGGCUACAUUUUCUUCUUGGACAGCCAUGCUCUCAGGUGUCCGUGCCGGAAGUUAUUCGAGGAAACAAGUUCCAUACCCUGUUUGAGAAAAUGUAAAAAUUUUCUCAUUUUUGCACCAAGUUUUGCCUAUAACUCGGUCGGUAUCCAACGGAUCGCCAAUCUUUAAACUGUGGUCGAUAGAUGGCACCUAUGGCUACAUUUUCUUCUUAGACGGCCAUGCUCUCAGGUGCCCGUGCCAGAAGUUAUUCGAGGAACCAAGUUCCUUACCCUGUUUGAGAAAAUGUAAAAUUUUCCUCAUUUUUGAGCAAUUUAGCAAAAUUUUUAAAUGUGAUAUAUUUUAAUGCGAAUUAGUUGCAAUGUGUUUCUUUUCACUCAAAUAAUGCUUUAAAUUAAAAAAAUAAUAAAAAAUCGGAAAAAAAAUUUUUAAAAAUUUUCAACUCGAAAAUUUCAUAAGGCUUACCCCUUACGUUUUUUUUGGGAAAUUUUGCAAAAAAAAUGAAAUUGAUUUAUUUUAAUGCCAAUUGCUUGCAAUGUGUUUCUUUUCACUCAACUAAUGCUUUAAAUAAAAAAAAGAGUGAAAAAUAAUAAAAAAAAUCAAAAAAUUCAAAAAAAUUAAAAUUUACUAAGGCUCAUUUUUGCAGCAAGUUUUGCCUAUAACUCGGUCGGUAUCCAACGGAUCGCCAAUCUUUAACCUGUGAUCGAUAGAUGGCAUUAAUGGCUACAUUUUCUUCUUGGACAGCCAUGCUCUCAGGUGUCCGUGCCGGAAGUUAUUCGAGGAACCAAGUUCCUUACCCUGUUUGAGAAAAUGUAAAAUUUUCCUCAUUUUUGCACCAAGUUUUGCCUAUAACUCGGUCGGUAUCUAACGGAUCGCCAAUCUUUAAAUUGUGAUCGAUAGAUGACACCAAUGGCUACAUUUUCUUCUUAGACCGCGAUGCUCUCAGGUGUCUGUGCCGGAAGUUAUUCGAGGAAACAAGUUCCUUACCCUGUUUGAGAAAAUGUAAAAUUUUCCUCAUUUUUGCACCAAGUUUUGCCUAUAACUCGGUCGGUAUCUAACGGAACGCCAAUCUUUAACCUGUGGUCGAUAGAUGGCACCAAUGGCUAUAUUUUCUUCUUGGACGGCCAUGCUCUCAGGUGUCCGUGCCGGAAGUUAUUCGAGGGACCAAGUUCUAUACCUUGUUGGGAAAAUGUAAAAUUUUCCUCAUUUUUGCACCAAGUUUUGCCUAUAACUCAGUCGGUAUCUAACGGAUCGCCAAUCUUUAAACUAUGAUCGAUAGAUGGCACCUAUGGCUACAUUUUCUUCUUAGACCGCGAUGCUCUCAGGUGUCUGUGCCGGAAGUUAUUUUCCUCAUUUUUGAGCAAUGUAGCAAAAUUUAUAAAUGUGAUAUAUUUUCAUCCAAAUUUGUUGCAAUGUGUUUCUUUUCACUCAAAUAAUGCUUUAAAUUAAAAAAAUAAUAAAAAAUCAGAAAAAUUUUUUUAAAAAUUUUCAACUCGAAAAUUUCAUAAGGCUUACCCCUUACGAUUUUUUUGGGAAAUUUUGAAAAAAAAAUGAAAUUGAUUUAUUUUAGUCCCAAUCGGUUGCAAUGUGUUUCUUUUCACUCAAGUAAUGCUUUAAAUAAAAAAAAGAGUGAAAAAUAAUCAAAAAAUCAAAAAAUUCAAAAAAAUGAAAAUUUACUAAGGCUCAUUUUUGCGCCAAGUUUUGCCUAUAACUUGGUCGGUAUCUAACGGAUCGCCAAUCUUUAACCUGUGGUCAAUAGAUGGCACCAAUAGCUACAUUUUCUUCUUGGACGGCCAUGCUCUCAGGUGUCCGUGCCGGAAGUUAUUCGAGGAACCAAGUUCCUUACCCUGUUUGAGAAAAUGUAAAAUUUUCGUCAUUUUUGCACCAAGUUUUGCCUAUAACUCGGUCGGUAUACAACGGAUCGCCAAUCUUUAACCUGUGGUCAAUAGAUGACACCAAUAGCUACAUUUUCUUCUUGGACGGCCAUGCUCUCAGGUGUCCGUGCCGGAAGUUAUUCGCGGAACCAAGUUCCUUACCCUGUUUGAGAAAAUGUAAAAUUUUCCUCAUUUUUGCACCAAGUUUUGCCUAUAACUCGGUCGGUAUCUAACGGAUCACCAAUCUUUAAACUGUGAUCGAUAGAUGGCACCAAUGGCUACAUUUUCUUCUUGGACGGCCAUGCUCUCAGGUGUCCGUGCCGGAAGUUAUUCGCGGAACCAAGUUCCUUACCCUGUUUGAGAAAAUGUAAAAUUUUCCUCAUUUUUGCACCAAGUUUUGCCUAUAACUCGGUCGGUAUCUAACGGAACGCCAAUCUUUAAACUGUGAUCGAUAGAUGGCACCAAUGGCUACAUUUUCUUCUUGGACGGCCAUGCUCGCAGAUGUCUGUGCCGGAAGUUAUUCGAGGGACCAAGUUCUAUACCUUGUUGGGAAAAUGUAAAAUUUUCCUCAUUUUUGCACCAAGUUUUGCCUAUAACUCGGUCGGUAUCUAACGGAUCGCCAAUCUUUAAACUGUGAUCGAUAGAUGGCACCUAUGGCUACAUUUUCUUCUUAGACCGCGAUGCUCUCAGGUAUCUGUGCCGGAAGUUAUUUUCCUCAUUUUUGAGCAAUGUAGCAAAAUUUAUAAAUGUGAUAUAUUUUCAUCCAAAUUUGUUGCAAUGUGUUUCUUUUCACUCAAAUAAUGCUUUAAAUUAAAAAAAUAAUAAAAAAUCAGAAAAAAAAUUUUUAAAAAUUUUCAACUCGAAAAUUUCAUAAGGCUUACCUCUUACGAUUUUUUUGGGAAAUUUUGAAAAAAAAAUGAAAUUGAUUUAUUUUAGUCCCAAUCGGUUGCAAUGUGUUUCUUUUCACUCAAGUAAUGCUUUAAAUAAAAAAGAGUGAAAAAUAAUAAAAAAAUCAAAAAAUUCAAAAAAAUGAAAAUUUACUAAGGCUCAUUUUUGCGCCAAGUUUUGCCUAUAACUUGGUCGGUAUCUAACGGAUCGCCAAUCUUUAACCUGUGGUCAAUAGAUGGCACCAAUAGCUACAUUUUCUUCUUGGACGGCCAUGCUCUCAGGUGUCCGUGCCGGAAGUUAUUCGCGGAACCAAGUUCCUUACCCUGUUUGAGAAAAUGUAAAAUUUUCCUCAUUUUUGCACCAAGUUUUGCCUAUAACUCGGUCGGUAUCUAACGGAACGCCAAUCUUUAAACUGUGAUCGAUAGAUGGCACCAAUGGCUACAUUUUCUUCUUGGACGGCCAUGCUCGCAGAUGUCUGUGCCGGAAGUUAUUCGAGGGACCAAGUUCUAUACCUUGUUGGGAAAAUGUAAAAUUUUCCUCAUUUUUGCACCAAGUUUUGCCUAUAACUCGGUCGGUAUCUAACGGAUCGCCAAUCUUUAAACUGUGAUCGAUAGAUGGCACCUAUGGCUACAUUUUCUUCUUAGACCGCGAUGCUCUCAGGUGUCUGUGCCGGAAGUUAUUUUCCUCAUUUUUGAGCAAUGUAGCAAAAUUUAUAAAUGUGAUAUAUUUUCAUCCAAAUUUGUUGCAAUGUGUUUCUUUUCAC
This is a long non-coding RNA of Anopheles funestus (African malaria mosquito), 11643 nucleotides long. RefSeq lists it as uncharacterized. The record is from RefSeq and is a predicted model, not a curated record. NCBI's taxonomy places the organism in Eukaryota, Metazoa, Arthropoda, Insecta, Diptera, Culicidae. The transcript has 7 exons.